RNAcentral lists this unclassified non-coding RNA (169 nucleotides) under uncultured Exobasidiales. RNAcentral's name for it is "sequence contains ITS2". The record is from RNAcentral. Lineage: Eukaryota; Fungi; Basidiomycota; Exobasidiomycetes; Exobasidiales.
AUCUUCUUCCAUUGCGUUUUUGCAUACAAAAACGCAUGCGAGUCCUUGGGUUUGAUUGACAUGCCCUGUCAAUCUUACCUUAAAUGUAUGAGCUGGAGAUCAGUCAGGUUGCUAAGGCAUUUUAAACCUGCGUAAACGGUCUCUGCUUUUUUAAAUUUAAACUAUUAAC